UACGAGGGGGGCAACUGUUGUUCGGAAUCACUGGGCGUAAAGGGUGCGUAGGCGGCGCGGAAAGUAGGGUGUGAAAUCCCUCGGCUCAACCGAGGAAUUGCGCCCUAAACUACCGUGCUCGAGGGAGAUAGAGGUGAGCGGAACUUAGGGUGGAGCGGUGAAAUGCGUUGAUAUCCUAAGGAACACCGGUGGCGAAAGCGGCUCACUGGAUCUCUUCUGACGCUGAGGCACGAAAGCUAGGGUAGCGAACGGG
Molecule: ribosomal RNA, 253 nt
Filed under: uncultured bacterium
Lineage: Bacteria
Description: partial 16S ribosomal RNA
Rfam family: Bacterial small subunit ribosomal RNA
Source: RNAcentral